GCGCCCGUAGCUCAACGGAUAGAGUACUUAUCUUCGGAAUAAGUGAUGUGGGUUCGAUUCCUGCCGGGCGCA
This 72-nucleotide transfer RNA is filed under the name Minisyncoccota bacterium. Its description in RNAcentral is "tRNA-Arg". It matches the Rfam family "tRNA". From Rfam's summary of the family: Transfer RNA (tRNA) molecules are approximately 80 nucleotides in length. The record is from RNAcentral. Lineage: Bacteria; Bacillati; Minisyncoccota.